RNA transcript from Aethalodelphis obliquidens (Pacific white-sided dolphin), 4850 nucleotides. It is a transcript of the gene named F-box protein 25, with no coding region annotated. The record is from RefSeq and is a predicted model, not a curated record. Lineage: Eukaryota; Metazoa; Chordata; Mammalia; Artiodactyla; Delphinidae. The transcript is spliced from 11 exons.
AGCUGGCCCCUUGGCUUUCUUCUGUCCCCACGCCGUCUGGUCUCUGUCUGUACAGUCUGGAUGCUGGCGGUUUUCCUGCCUUGCUCUCCAGCCUUACCCUCCCCUCUGAGCCAUUCAUUCAGUGAUUGUUGAGCUACCCUUGUGCGCCGGGCAUCGUUCCAAGUGUUGGGAUACAGAGUUGAACAAGACAUCGCGUUUUCUUGAGGAAGGCAGACUGUAGCCAUGAGAGCUAUGCCAUUUUUGGGCCAGGACUGGAGAUCUCCUGGAUGGAGCUGGAUUAAAACAGAAGACGGCUGGAAAAGAUGUGAACCCUGGAGUGAGGGACUUGAAGGAGAGAAUGACCGGUGUGGCGCCAGCCACGGCACUAUCUUAAAUAGUGAAGAUGAAGAAAUAUUCAAUAAUGAAGAGCAUGAAUAUGCAUCCAAAAAAAGGAAAAAGGACCAUUUUAGAAAUGACAAAAAUACUCAGUGUUUUUAUCGUGAAAAAUGGAUCUAUGUCCAUAAAGAAAGCACAAGAGAAAGACACGGCUACUGCACUUUGGGAGAAGCUUUUAACCGCUUAGACUUCUUCAGUGCGGUUCAGGAUGCCCGGAGGUUCACUUACGUGGCCAGACUGUUGCAGCUGAUCGCAAAGUCCCAGCUGACCUCGCUGAGCGGUGUGGCCCAGAAGAACUACUUCAACGUUCUGGAUAAAAUCGUUCAAAAAGUUCUUGAUGACCACCAAAACCCUCGCCUAAUCAAAGAUCUUCUCCAAGACCUAAGCUCUACCCUUUGCAUUCUAAUUAGAGGAGUGGGGAAGUCCGUUCUGGUGGGAAAUAUCAACAUUUGGGUUUGCCGGUUAGAAACUAUUCUCAACUGGCAACAGCAGCUACAGAAUCUUCAGAUGACUGAGCAGGUGGACAGCGGCCUGACGCUCAGCGACCUUCCCGUGCACAUGCUCAGCAACAUCCUGUACAGGUUCUCGGAUGGGUGGGACAUCGUCACUCUGGGUCAGGUGACCCCGACGCUGUCCGCGCUUAGCGAGGACCGGCGGCUGUGGAAGAAGCUCUGCCAGUACCACUUCGGCGAGAAGCAGUUUUGUAGACACUUGAUCCUUUCAGAAAAAGGUCAUAUCGAAUGGAAGUUGAUGUAUUUUGCACUUCAGAAACAUUACCCCACUAAGGAACAGUAUGGAGACACACUGCACUUUUGUCGGCACUGCAGCAUCCUCUUUUGGAAGGACUGCCGCCUUGCUUUAUUACUCGAGGUACCUCCUGCUCUGCCCGCGUCUGCGCGCGUCCCCAGGAGGCUGGUGCCCCUCAGGCCGCACCCUCUGCUGAUGUGCGACUGGCCUGCUUGCUUCGCCACGACCGGGGGUCCCAUGAGCUGCCCUGUAGACCAGAGGGAGGGUGUAGACUUGGCCGCCGGGUCCCCGGCCUUACUGGCCCCGUCCUGAGGCUGCUCUGUCUCCUGACCUGAGCCCCGUUUCUGCUGCGGGACGCAGUGCUGGGCCCUCUGGUGAGUGGGGUGGGCGGUGCCGAGAGCAGGUCCCGGGGUGGACCCUGACCCACGGCGGGAGGGGAGGAGCGCGGCCAGGACGGGGGCGCAGAGCCCAGGGCUCCCUCUGGGGCCCUAACUCAGGGCGGCCCGUCUCCCCAUCCCCUGGAGCAGGAAUUCCUUCGGGAAGUCUCUCCCCCGGGGAGCCGUGUGGCUGCCUUCAUUUUCGUAGUUUUCAUCGCUUGCUGUCCACGCACCUUUGUGGUGGGGUCCGGGGCGCGUUUAAACAAGCAGCUGGUGACUUCUGAGCUGCGUUCCCUCCAGAAACACGCCCCGUGUGGUAACAACCCACUCCUCCCGCAGGACUCGGGCCACCCCUGCACGGCUGCUGACCCCGACAGCUGCUUCACGCCCGUGUCCCCGCAGCACUUCAUCGACCUCUUCAAGUUCUAAGGGCCCCACCGCGCCGUGGCCUGGGCAGCGUGGUAGGACGCGUCCUUCGUGACCGAGCCGUGACCUGGUGCCCAGGCUGGAGGGCGUGGAGGGACGUGGAAAAGUGCCCUGGCACCUGCGGGCGGGAGCAUCUGUUGUUUCCACGCGUGAAGUGGGGCUAGGGAGCCCAAGGAAAAUCAUUUCUACUUCCUUCUUUAAAAAAUGCUUUUCUUCUAAGCGCAUUAAAAUGUGCAACUUUGCAUGUUUGUGAAUGUGGUUCAGAAAGAGUCUGUAUUUUCAGCACCGCAUCCUGUGCUGAACUGACACUAACAGCCAAGCAUACGCUUCUUAAUUGUCAAAUGAUAGUUUCCUGAUUUUGUAGUGAUCGGGGGCGGGGAUAGAUCAUUGAUCCUUGUAAGGACAUUGUGCAGAAUAUUUAUUUUUCUUGAGAUGUAUUUUAACUGUAUUGGUCGUGUCCAUAUGAAUCCCCUUGGAUACAGAAGGAACCCAGGGAAGUAUGUGCAUGUCUUCUGGGUGCUCAGCGUUGGGUUGUGAAUUGUGCAGACAUCCAAGACCCACAAAGGCGUGAGUCUGGGGCUGUGAUCCUGGGCUCAUGGCCCGAUGCUGGCAGGCAGGGGCCCUAACCUGGGGGCCAGCCCAGUGUGACCUGCACUGUACUGCUCUGAAUCCCCUUUUGCAGGCAAAGUAAUAAAUCAUGUUUAUCUGCCGAUUUUAACUUCAUCAGUUUUGCAUCUUACUGAAGGAAGUAGUAUCAAUGAUUUUGAUAUCAUUUAUUGAAACCUUUCAAAGAUUGUUUUAUUUUCAAAGUAUUGCAUGUACGUUUUAGAAAAUUUUGAAAAUAAAGGUUUAUAAAAGAAUAAAACUUGCAUAUAACCCUGCCACCCAGAGAUAGCUGUGCUUGCCAGAAGGAAUGCAGGAAUGGCCCCGGCAGGUGUAGGGGAGACUGAACAGGGUCAAGGACCCAAGCAAAGUCAUUUCUACUUCCUUCUUAGCACAUGGAAAUUUGCUGUUUUGCAUAUUUGUAAAUAAAGAGUGUAUUUUCACUACAUUCUGUGCUGAACUGACACAGCCAAGACUAUGCUUAAUUGUCAAAUGAUAGUUUCCCUCUGUGUGUAUUGGGUGAAAGCUUUUCAUAAAACCGUAAACAUCAUAUAUACUGUUUUCAUUUUAUAACCAGCCUUUUUUUCAAAAGUGUUUGUGAAAAUAUGGUUUUUACUGGCGACCUGGUACCACACAGCUGGAACAGAUCAUUUUGUGAUCAGCAUCACCACGUGUGCACCUGUGUGCAUCUGCUGAUCUCCUUACGAUAAACGAGAAGCAGAACCAGGGAAAGGAGUCAGUUGUUUGUAAGGAUGUUUCCGGAGCACUGGCGAGGAUGGAAGGCGGCAUCUUUCUCCCCCGAAGAUGGACGUGAAGAGGCUAUGAGAUAAGUGUGAUUUAUGUGCAUAUUCCAACCCCGGUCUGGUUUUGAGGAACAAUGGUAUGAAGAGUUGUUCUGCCAGCUGUGCACCACGGGUGUGUCACGGGCACUGAGCGUCGCAGCACACGGGCACAGGCUCCCCACAGUGAGGACACUGUCCCCACCACCGUGCUGAGCUCCCUUCCUAGAGCCUCGGACACGAGGUCUGCCUCCCUGCACCUCAACACAGGAUUAGCCCAAGACAAGCCCGCGGCUCCUGCUUUAAAAUCCUCGCGUAAAUGACGGCCUGGAGCUCGUCUGCAGCCACAGCAAGCGUCUCUUUAGGGAGAAGGACUACAGUCUAUGGACUGAACCGUUUCCCCGAGGAAACACGGUUUUCAGUUCCAGUAUGAACCAUUUCAAGGUUCUAACGCAAACUGGAUUUUACCACCACUUACAUGUCCCCCUUUCAAGGCUCAGUGAAGUAAACUUCUUGUCUCUUAGAAAAAGAUGGACAUAGAUGACUGAUGGACGCUACGUAGACAGAGAGAGAUGGUUAGAGGACAGGUAUACAUUGUACAUAGAUGGCUGGAGAUGACAGAGUGUAGACAGAUGACUGAUUGAGAAAUGACAGAUGACAGGCAGACACUGUCACCCCCCGGAGUCCACAGAAAUGCUAAAUGGCGCCCCUUUACGUGGAACAGCACAGAACUGAACGCUGAGGACAGUGGCUUUUAAAGAGAGGCAUGCACAGUGUAACUGGAGGGUUUUGUUUUUAACCAAAAAACCCCAAUACCUUCUCCGUGAAGCCACCGUGACCUGAGAUAGACACGUACUCCUGUGGAUCGGAGCUGUCCUGCUGAGGACACACGUGCACGGGUACCUGACCACGGGGCCAGUCUAUCAGGGAGGCAGAGAGCAAGCCUGGAGACACACGAGAUGCCUCAGUGACGUGCCCAAACCAGCCAGUCUCUCAUUUGGAAAAACAAAACCCUGGGUGUUAGAGAAGAGAGGCACUUUCAUCAUUUUACAUACAGUUUUAACUCUUAACAAGCGAGUUAUUAUUUUCCAAACAAAAUUAACUGUCAAGUUACUAAAAUUGAUCCAUGCUUUAUAUAUAGCAUUCUUUGAUCUGCAAUCAAAAACAGAGAACAAAGUUUUAGAAGAAAAUAAGAUCAAUAUUUAAAAGUUCAGGAGAAAUAAAAAUAAAACCUCAAGGUAAGAACCACUGUCAUCAUCUAAUGCGCGUACAGGAGGCUGGAGAUGAAGACGCGUUUGCAGACAGUGCAUUCACGCUGAUCAGAUACAGCCUUUGCUUCUCCAGGGUUUAUUCUGCUUGCAUAUUUUAAAAUUUAGUACAAAAGAAGAGUUAACACAAUGUAACAUGACCUUUGGAAGAUUCAUUUUACACCUGGAUUGCAGGUUUCUGGCAACAGAAGAGAACUGCGCAGCUGCUACAUUCUUGUGUCAUAGACUACACGUAUGUGCUACAUGCAGAGAAAGGGAUCAAGACACGGAACAAA